This is a long non-coding RNA of Homo sapiens (human), 5299 nucleotides long. RefSeq lists it as uncharacterized. The record is from RefSeq and is a predicted model, not a curated record. The transcript is spliced from 3 exons. Lineage: Eukaryota; Metazoa; Chordata; Mammalia; Primates; Hominidae.
UUCCCUGGGCGCUCUUUGGCACUGGCUGUCCCGCCAGAAGGCGCCAGCAGGGAGCUCAAUGCCGGCAACCAUCGCCUGCCCCUUGGAGCUGUUGCCUGGGCAGGGGUGGCCUUGGUUGUUUACCGCCGGGGUUGACCAGCUAACGAGCUCCCAGGCAGCUGUGAUGGUGGGGAGGCAGCUGCACAGUGAUGGCAGUGGCUGCCAGGCAGUCCCCCACAACCCUGAGAAAGGAAAAUUCUGCUCUCUGAAUCUGUAGAAAGAGGAGGAUGAGAGCGAGGGGCAGGAGGAAGAUGUGGAGAAGGAGAAAGAUGAAAGAAGAAGCCUUCAUAAAUACUGUAUGUGGCCCAUAAACCCUGAAGUAUUUAACAUCUGGUCCUUUACAGAAAACCUUUGCCAACCCCUGGUCCAAAGAAAUGGAAACACCUUGAUAGGAACAAUUUCAUAUGUUUUCUGUUUCUUUCUAGUGUUUUAAAUUCAUGUCACAAGGGAGCACCUAAUAAGGACCUGACUCACAGUGGACAUUAAAACAGUGAUUAUGUGAACUAAUUGGUGGAUAAAUCGUUGGCUCUCUGCUUCAAGCACAGCAAAACAAGUCAGCUUCUUGGAUAUCUUUUAUGGGAGAUAAUAUGGCUAUCCAAAUGUUCACCAAUCCCUCACUUAUGCCUUGUGCCCACUCAUGGGAGACAUAUAAUCUCAUGCCCCAGUGAUGUUGGGCUUUGACAUGUGACUUGCUUUGGCCAAGAGAAUGUAAUCAGAGAUAACAUAUGCCACAUUUUAUUAGAAGCUGUGAGAGAUAUUUUACAUUUCUAUCAGUCACCUUUAAUUUCUGCCCUCUGGAAUUUUAAAAGUAUGUUGUAGUUGUGGCUAAUAUUUCCACUUGGAUACUGCAAUAAGAAAACACAAAGAGACAGGCCAAGCACAAUAAGACCAACCAACCAAAUCCAGAAAUGCUCAGCCAAACUGAAGCUGACCCUCGGCAUUCAUGUGAUGGGUGAGAACUACAAGGUGUAAGCCUUUGAGAUUUUGUGGUUCUCUGGCUGAAAGAAAAGUUGAUUGAUAUCCUUCUAUAAAACAAAAGAUUCAGAAGGAUCUAAUGGAUUAGGUUUUAGUAUAUUAUUGCAAAUCAUAAUGAAUUCUUAGAUACAUAUUUUUUAACCAUAAUAGGAAGAAUAGCUAUUUAUACAACUCAUAUUUACAAGAUGAUUUCAUAUUUUUAGUUCAUUUUCUGCUGUGUAGAAAUGUAAUGGUUAUAAUAUGGUGCCCUUUCAUGCUCAUCAAGCACUCUUUUAUCUCACUAAUGAAGGGCAAAAGUGAUGGACAUAUGUUGUUACUAGAAUAAAAGGCCACCUUACACUCAAGAAAAUUAAUGUAUUACUGUGAUAACUUUGUUCUCUAUUAAAAAUGAAUCAUUCUUGAAUCAGAAUUUCUUUACUUUGGAAGUUAGUAUUUCACCCUUAUAUCAAUUUAACUUUGUAGAAAUAUGACUAGAAAUUAAAUGGCAUAAAAACUGAGAAACAAAUUUAUACAGAAAAGAUUUACAAUUUAUAAUGAGUUGUGCCAAGUAGGAAAUAUUUUAACCUCAUAAGGAUAAGUGUGAAAUCAAGAAAUUUGUAGUCAAAGGUGGUUCAUCCUAUAAAAAUAAAAAUAUAUAGGAGAAUACUGAUGAGAAAAGAAAAUUAAAAUAUCCAGAAAUUUUCAUGUAGCUUAUUUGAAGUCACAAAAUGUGACAAAAAUACCAUAAAAUAAAAUGUGUAAUUCAGGGCUCCAGAAAUGGCCAUGGUGCUGAUAGUUGACAGCUGUUGUUUUUGCCUUCCCAGCACUCUCCCACUUUUUAAUGUUAAGAGAAUUCUAAUUCUGUUUUGGGAAACAUCCUCUCCUCUUUCACUUCAGUAGCCCUAGUGCUAUAGUGUCAUUCCUCUUUUAAAUGUGGGCAAUGUGAGCCCAAUAAAUCAUAGUCUCAUAUGACCCUCACCACAGGCAUUUCUUUAGGACUGGCAUCUGAGCCAAGAGAGGAUACUCAGAGCAGACAGGAAUCUGAGGAGUGAAAGAAACUUUCUUCAGCUAUUAAAGUUGAGAGAAGAUAGCAGUAAGAUGGGAGCAGCCGGUGUACAUCUAGUCAGCAGAAAUGGCAAGCCAGCCUGAGAACUCCACUAACACAAAGGAAAGCAAAGCUCAGAGAAGGCAAGGGACAGACCAAGUUCUGAUGAUGCCAUAUAAUCCCACACCCUCCCAAACAGGAUACACCUGAUUUUUUAACCUUGUUUUCCUUUCUCUUGCAAUUUCAAUCCCUGAUAGAUACAGUGCUCCUGGGGGUGGUUGAGGCAUUUGAAGAUGAAUAUUUUACAAUUAGACUUUCCCUUCACGUCUGUAUUUCAGUAAACCCAUAAAUAACAUAUUUCAGAAGUGGUUGGAUUCUUGUGAUGUUUCUCAAUUUAAGUUUCAUUUUUGCAACCAUGUCCUCUAGAGGAAUUCCAGCAAAUGGCUGGCAGUGAAGUUUGGCAUGCAAACAUAUGAGGACUGUAUCUGAAAAUCUCCUUUGAAUAUUGAUUCAUCAGAUGAUUAAUCUCUAAUUUUUUAAUUAAAAAAAGCAGGCUAUAUUAUUAGUACAAAAAGAGUUUUUUUCAUUUUGUAAAUUUUUAUUUUGGGAAAAAAGUCAAACCUACAGAAAAGUUGGAGGAAUUUUACUACAGGCACAAUGCAACUUGUACCUAGAGAAAUUUAGACAUUAAAUUUUUCCCAAAAUUAUUUUCUUUCUCUAAAUACAUAUGCUUUUUUUUCUUUUGCUGAACAAUUUGAAAAUAAUUUGUAGGCAUUUCAUAACUUACCUGACAAAUAUGUUAGCAGGACUCUCCUAAGAAUAAAAACAUUCUUCUCUAUAACUUCUAUACCAAUGUUGCAUCUAAGAAAAUUAACUCUAAUUUUAAAAUAUCACCUAAUAUACUGUCCAUCUUCAAAAUUCCCUAAUUGUUCUAAAAUUGUCUUUUAGGAUCUUUUUGUAAAACUCCAGGAUCCAAUUGUGGUGUGUAAAUUGAAUUUGGUUAUGUCUCUUUAGUUUCUUUUAAUGUUGAACUGUCCCUUAUAUUUUUUCUCGUUAUAUUGAAUUGUUGACCAUUCUAGGCCUCUGGUCUUUUACAAUGUGUUCCUUUCUUGUUUUUUCUUAUGUAAAUUCAGUUUAAUAAUUUUGGCAAGAAUAGUACACAGUUGCUAUGUAUAUUUCUUGUUGUUUCACAUUAAGAACAUUAUAUCAAGUUGUCCUACCAUUGAUGAUUCAAAGUUUGGCUGCUAAAUCUCCGAAUUAUAAAGAAAAAUUCUUUUCUAUUAGUAAUUAAUAUUAUACUUGUGUGAUAUCUUGAAUAGGUAGGAAAGUCCAGUUUUCCAACAAUCCCCCACACAAUGGUUUUAGCAUUUGUUGAUAACGCUCAGAGAAGGCAAGGGACUGAACAAGUUCUGAUGAUGUGUUUUCGUUUUCGUUUGAAUAAAGUUCAUUUUUAGAAUUCAAUCAUUUUUUCCAUAUUUGUUAGAUGUCCUUUAUCUAUAAAGAUAAAGAAGACGUUACUUCCAUUCCUGCAUCUUCAUCAUACUCACACACAUAAUUAACCUUUUUCAUUAUUUUCUGUUUAUCUUUUCUGUGUGUGUGAUGUAUUACAUAUUAUACAUUUUAAAUAAUAUAUAAUAGAGAACAUUUAUUUGUACACAUACACACACACACAAAUUUCUUUUAUGCUCAUUCACAAAGAUACCACAGUAUGUACACUUUUUUGAGGCUUUUUUUUCACUUAACCAUGUAUCUUGGAAAUACUCCAUAUAAGUUAAUAGCUAGUUAUCUUUUUAUUGUUCUGUAAAUUAUUUAAUCUGUCUUCUAUAGAUGGGCAUUUCGUUUUUAUCCAAUAUUUUCUAUUUUAAUUAAUGCUGCAGUGAAUAAACUUUUGCAUAUAUUGUUUUGUUAUUUGCAGGAAGGUAUAUACAAGCAAAGUCUUAGAAAGAGGAUUUCUGGAUCAAAGUGUAAAUGCAUCGGCAGCUUUGUUAGAUAUUGCCACAUUGUGUUCAACAAGGGUUUUACCAUCAACAGUUAUGAGUGUCUGUUUUCCCAAAGCCUAGCCAAUAGUAUGUGUUUUCAAGGCACUGAUUUUCUGCUAAUCUGGUAGGUAAGAAAUAGCAUAAUGGUGUAGUUUUAAUUUGCAUUCCUAUUAUUGUCAGUGAGUUAGAGUGCCUUUUCAUAUGUUCAAGGACCAUUUUUAUAUACUUUCUCUAAACUCUUCAUUUUUCAUUUUCCCAUGUUAUUUUCACUUUAUUUUCAAUAACUCUUUUUAAAUGAAAGAUAUUAGCAUUUUAUUUUCUGUGAUGUAAGUUGCAAAUAUUUUUGUCCAGCCUGUCUUUCAAUUUUUCUGUUUUAGCAUGCAUUUUAAAAUUUUUAAUGAAGUUGAAUUUAUAAUUUUUAUAUAGCUACUUGAUAGUGAAUCAUAAUUAGAAAUGUCUCCACACACAUUAUAAAGAAAGCCAAGCAUGUUCCCGUUUAGACUGUUGAUCCAAGUAGAGUGUUUUCACGUUCUACUAGAUCAAUAAUGGAUCCAAUUUUUUUCUUUUCUAAAUGUCUAUCCAGUUUUCCAAACACUAUGUUUUAAAAAGACUAUAUUUUUUCCAGUAGCCUAAGAUACCAUAUAUAAUAUUUACUAAAUCUUCAUUUGUACUUAGGUCUAUUCUGAGCUUUCCAUACAAUUUUGUUAAUCUAUUAAUAUAUUCUUGAAUCUGUAUCAUGCCAUUUUGAUUAUAGAGACUCUAUAGUAUACUUUUUAAAAAUAGACUUUAUUUUUUAGGCCAGAUUAAGGUUCACAGCAGAAGUUACAGAGCUUUCCCAAAUACUCCCUACACCGACAGAUGCACAGCCUCCCUCAUUAUCAACAUCCCCCAUCAGAAUGAUACAAUUGCUAUAAUUGAUGAACCUAAAUUGACUACUCAUUAUUACUCAGAAUCCAUAGUUUACACUGGGGUUCACUCUUGGUUUCGUGCAUUCUGUGGGUUUGGAAAAGUUCAUAAUGCUAUAUAUCCAUUCUUAUAACAUCAUACAAAGUAGUUUCAGUGCUCUAAAAAUCCUCUGUGCUCCAGCGAUUUGCCUCUCCCUUCUCCUAACCCUUGGUCUUUUUAUUAUCUCCACAGUUUUGCCUUUUCUGGAAUGUCAUUUAGUUAGAAUCAUAUGGUAUGUAGCUUUUUUAGAUUGGAUUGUUUCAUUUAGUCAUUUGCAUUUGAAUUUCCUCGAUGUCUUUUCAUGGCUUGAUAGCUCAUUAAAAAAAAUCAAAUAAUA